CCGUAGCCCAAGAGACUGGGAUAACACCUGGAAACAGAUGCUAAUACCGGAUAACAACACUAGACGCAUGUCUAGAGUUUAAAAGAUGGUUCUGCUAUCACUCUUGGAUGGACCUGCGGUGCAUUAGCUAGUUGGUAAGGCAACGGCUUACCAAGGCAAUGAUGCAUAGCCGAGUUGAGAGACUGAUCGGCCACAUUGGGACUGAGACACGGCCCAAACUCCUACGGGAGGCAGCAGCG
RNAcentral lists this ribosomal RNA (239 nucleotides) under uncultured bacterium. Its description in RNAcentral is "partial 16S ribosomal RNA". It matches the Rfam family "Bacterial small subunit ribosomal RNA", at positions 125 to 356 of the family's 1533-position model. The record is from RNAcentral.